AGUCGCGCUGUGAGCACAUAGCGAACUAUUCUUUCGCCUUUUACUAAAGAAUACCGUGUGCUUGCUGCAAAUAGCGGCAUACGCAAAUUUUUGAACGGUUCCUUCUUUUUAGGGUGG
Jatropha curcas is the source of this 117-nucleotide non-coding RNA. The record is from Rfam. Lineage: Eukaryota; Viridiplantae; Streptophyta; Magnoliopsida; Malpighiales; Euphorbiaceae.